GGAAACUCUAGCCAGGUGAGUGAUGGGGCAGCUGCCAUCCUGCUGGCCCGGAGGUCCAAGGCAGAAGAGUUGGGCCUUCCCAUCCUUGGGGUCCUGAGGUCUUAUGCAGUGGUUGGGGUCCCACCUGACAUCAUGGGCAUUGGACCUGCCUAUGCCAUCCCAGUAGCUUUGCAAAAAGCAGGUAAGGUGGCUCCUUCAUAUAGUAUCUGGGUCCCACCUGGAUCCUGCAGCUGCCCUGCAUGCUGUUGCCAGGGGCAUGAGGGUGGUCCUGUGGGUGCUGCAGAGUGGAGGUGGGGCAGGCUAGUGUCCCAUACUUCAAGCCCUUCCUGACCCCACAGCUGGGAUUGGCUCACCCUUCUGGAAGAGACACACACCAGGCAGCCUGUAGGCCCAUGGAUGGGGUGGGCCCCAGGGGAGGCAGAGGGCCAGUGUGUCAGCUCAGGUCUUUACCUUGUCUGCAGGGCUGACAGUGAGUGACGUGGACAUCUUCGAGAUCAAUGAGGCCUUUGCAAGCCAGGCUGCCUACUGUGUGGAGAAGCUACGACUCCCCCCUGAGAAGGUGAACCCCCUGGGGGGUGCAGUGGCCUUAGGGCACCCACUGGGCUGCACUGGGGCACGACAGGUCAUCACGCUGCUCAAUGAGCUGAAGCGCCGUGGGAAGAGGGCAUACGGAGUGGUGUCCAUGUGCAUCGGGACUGGAAUGGGAGCCGCUGCCGUCUUUGAAUACCCUGGGAACUGAGUGAGGUCCCAGGCUGGAGGCGCUACGCAGACAGUCCUGCUGCUCUAGCAGCAAGGCAGUAACACCACAAAAGCAAAACCACAUGGGAAAACUCAGCACUGGUGGUGGUGGCAGUGGACAGAUCAAGGCACUUCAAC
This 876-nucleotide long non-coding RNA is filed under the name Homo sapiens (human). RNAcentral describes it as "non-protein coding lnc-ACAA1-1:4". The record is from RNAcentral. Lineage: Eukaryota; Metazoa; Chordata; Mammalia; Primates; Hominidae.